This 659-nucleotide ribosomal RNA is filed under the name Aureobasidium proteae. RNAcentral describes it as "eukaryotic LSU rRNA". The stretch from base 1 to 586 matches the Rfam family "Eukaryotic large subunit ribosomal RNA", at positions 56 to 664 of the family's 3401-position model. The record is from RNAcentral. Lineage: Eukaryota; Fungi; Ascomycota; Dothideomycetes; Dothideales; Saccotheciaceae.
CACCACGGGGUUAUAACCGAUACAUACGGCGAGUGAGCGGCACAGCUCAAAUUUGAAAGCUAGCCUUCGGGUUCGCAUUGUAAUUUGUAGAGGAUGAUUUGGGGAAGCCGCCUGUCUAAGUUCCUUGGAACAGGACGUCAUAGAGGGUGAGAAUCCCGUAUGUGACAGGAAAUGGCACCCUAUGUAAAUCUCCUUCGACGAGUCGAGUUGUUUGGGAAUGCAGCUCUAAAUGGGAGGUAAAUUUCUUCUAAAGCUAAAUAUUGGCGAGAGACCGAUAGCGCACAAGUAGAGUGAUCGAAAGAUGAAAAGCACUUUGGAAAGAGAGUUAAAAAGCACGUGAAAUUGUUGAAAGGGAAGCGCUUGCAAUCAGACUUGUUUAAACUGUUCGGCCGGUCUUCUGACCGGUUUACUCAGUUUGGACAGGCCAGCAUCAGUUUCGGCGGCCGGAUAAAGGCUCUGGGAAUGUGGCCUCCACUUCGGUGGAGGUGUUAUAGCCCAGGGUGUAAUACGGCCAGCCGGGACUGAGGUCCGCGCUUCGGCUAGGAUGCUGGCGUAAUGGUUGUAAGCGACCCGUCUUGAAACACGGACCAAAAAAAACAAAACAAAAACAAAAACGGAGGAAGGGCUUAGUUCUUUAAUUACUUGAUUUCCCGGUUUUU